Non-coding RNA from Cinara cedri, 409 nucleotides. Lineage: Eukaryota; Metazoa; Arthropoda; Insecta; Hemiptera; Aphididae. The record is from the annotation of a GenBank genome assembly.
AACUUAAAUACCACAAUUUAUUUUCAAAGUAACAUAAUUUGAGCCUCCUUUUGAGAGGAAUGAAAUGGUUGCUUUGAUUUUUUUUGUCAUAAAUUAAAUUUAAAAUGAGUUGCACAAAUUGGAGGCCUUUUUUAAAAAAAUAUUUUUAUUACUGUACUUAUUAGGUACCAAUUAGAUUGGGUGAAUAACAUUAAGGACUGAACUGAAGGUUUAAUAAGAUUAUCAAUAAUAUAAUCACACAUUUUUUUACAUUUUUUAUAAUAACUGUAUUAUUGUUAUUGAUAUUAUGUUUAUUACUAUUAUGUAUGUCUAUUAUGUUGCUUUUGGUAUUAACAGAUUAUAUCAGUUACUUACAUGGUUACAGGCUGAAUAAUCAAGCUUCGCCAGUGUGCAGUUUUGUUGUGUUACU